Molecule: ribosomal RNA, 1363 nt
Filed under: Burkholderia cenocepacia
Lineage: Bacteria; Pseudomonadati; Pseudomonadota; Betaproteobacteria; Burkholderiales; Burkholderiaceae
Description: bacterial LSU rRNA
Rfam family: Bacterial large subunit ribosomal RNA
Source: RNAcentral
UAGGGAGCGAAGCAAUUGGAAGUGGUUCCAAGAAAAGCCUCUAAGCUUCAGUCUAACGAUGACCGUACCGCAAACCGACACAGGUGGGCGAGAUGAGUAUUCUAAGGCGCUUGAGAGAACUCGGGAGAAGGAACUCGGCAAAUUGGUACCGUAACUUCGGGAUAAGGUACGCCCUUGUAGCUUGACUGGCCUGCGCCAGGAGGGUGAAGGGGUUGCAAUAAACUGGUGGCUGCGACUGUUUAAUAAAAACACAGCACUCUGCAAACACGAAAGUGGACGUAUAGGGUGUGACGCCUGCCCGGUGCCGGAAGAUUAAAUGAUGGGGUGCAAGCUCUUGAUUGAAGUCCCGGUAAACGGCGGCCGUAACUAUAACGGUCCUAAGGUAGCGAAAUUCCUUGUCGGGUAAGUUCCGACCUGCACGAAUGGCGUAACGAUGGCCACACUGUCUCCUCCCGAGACUCAGCGAAGUUGAAGUGUUUGUGAUGAUGCAAUCUACCCGCGGCUAGACGGAAAGACCCCAUGAACCUUUACUGUAGCUUUGCAUUGGACUUUGAACCGAUCUGUGUAGGAUAGGUGGGAGGCUAUGAAACCGGAACGCUAGUUUCGGUGGAGCCGUCCUUGAAAUACCACCCUGGUUUGUUUGAGGUUCUAACCUUGGCCCGUGAUCCGGGUCGGGGACAGUGCAUGGUAGGCAGUUUGACUGGGGCGGUCUCCUCCCAAAGCGUAACGGAGGAGUACGAAGGUACGCUAGGUACGGUCGGAAAUCGUGCUGAUAGUGCAAUGGCAUAAGCGUGCUUAACUGCGAGACCGACAAGUCGAGCAGGUGCGAAAGCAGGUCAUAGUGAUCCGGUGGUUCUGUAUGGAAGGGCCAUCGCUCAACGGAUAAAAGGUACUCUGGGGAUAACAGGCUGAUACCGCCCAAGAGUUCAUAUCGACGGCGGUGUUUGGCACCUCGAUGUCGGCUCAUCUCAUCCUGGGGCUGUAGCCGGUCCCAAGGGUAUGGCUGUUCGCCAUUUAAAGAGGUACGUGAGCUGGGUUUAAAACGUCGUGAGACAGUUUGGUCCCUAUCUGCCGUGGGCGUUGGAUAUUUGAAGGGGGCUGCUCCUAGUACGAGAGGACCGGAGUGGACGAACCUCUGGUGUACCGGUUGUCACGCCAGUGGCAUCGCCGGGUAGCUAUGUUCGGAAGAGAUAACCGCUGAAAGCAUCUAAGCGGGAAACUCGCCUUAAGAUGAGAUAUCCCUGGGGACUAGAUCCCCUUGAAGGGUCGUUCGAGACCAGGACGUUGAUAGGUCGGGUGUGUAAGCGCAGUAAUGCGUUCAGCUAACCGAUACUAAUUGCCCGUAAGGCUUGAUCCUAUAACA